CUGCAUGCGGAUUGCUGUUUACACAGUCACUGCAUCGUAUGCGGAUCCGUUUCUUUUGCAACCGUUGAGAUCGUUGUAUAUAUAUACAUAGGCAUACGCACACACAUACACACAUAGGGCACUGCACAUUCACCACACAGCUACUACCUGGCUGCGAUCACGACUGCGUGCACUGCUUCCUGCGUUCCCCGCGUCUGCUAGCUGUGCGCCUAUUGUUCCUGGAGGAUCCUCGUUUGCUGCUACUGAGCUCGGUGCUGGAAGGAAAUGCAGCAGAGAGGAUCCUGACGGCGAACGACGGGUUCGGGUUGGCUUCGCAUUGAUGGACAGAGACGGUGGUCUGAGGCUGCAGAAGUGAGCUUGACAAGGGGAGUCUCGGUGCUGGAGCUUAAGGUGUGCAAAGCGUUGAGGAGGGGAUGACCAGUGCUGCAGACGGGAAGAAGAAGGCAGUCGGCUAGCAGGAUGCAGCUUUUACUUCUUAGUGGCGGGGUGAGCAGGACGUGGGUGUUCUUGUACAAGAGACUGCAACGAAGUUUUGCCGUGUAGUGUCUUUUGAUUACAGUUUUCCCUCGGUGGUGCGCUGCCG
Malus domestica (apple) is the source of this 583-nucleotide non-coding RNA. The record is from RefSeq and is a predicted model, not a curated record. Lineage: Eukaryota; Viridiplantae; Streptophyta; Magnoliopsida; Rosales; Rosaceae.